UUGUUAUUACUUCCUUGUCUUGACCCAGUAUAUCAAUCAUUUAGCGUGGGUCGGUUUUAUUUCCACAACCGCAAGUCGAUUUCAACAUCCUCAAUGUCGACACCUUUUCUAGAGAAGUUUUUAUUUCAUUUGCAUAGCAUGUCUGGAAUUUGGAUGUAAACGCGUUUUAAAUCGUCCGUUAAUCUGAAUAUCAAGAGGCUGCAGGUUGUUCGUACACGCAGUGGGGACGAACACCACUUGAAUUCCCUUUUCCUCCAGCAUAAUGCCCCUUCUAGACCGGCGUCCAAAUACAUGAGAAUGCAGCUUAGAUUAGAAGUUGGAUACUAUGAAAAAUAUGACGGAGAAAAGUGAGGAAAGUGGACCUGUGAGUGACAAUGGAAUUUGGACAAAGAAAGAUAAGAUCACGCUUCUCAUUGUCACGAUCAUGACAAUUAUUAACUCGUAUUUUAUAAUCAUGCACAAUUCACAGAAAAGACCAUGUGAAAAAGUCAUACCUGCUCGCGAGCACAAUAGACUGCAGUUGGAUAUACGAUGGCUUAAGGCAAUAGUUAAAAGGAAUGAAAACAAACAACACCUUGAAUCACGAUUGAAUAGUCAACGUUUCAACAACCAGCAAUUGAAGGGUGAUGAAGUCGAAAAACAACAACACAACAUUUCUCUAUUGCAGAGUCUUCUGGCGGCUAUCAUCGUAAUAAUUUUUUUGUUUCUGUGGCUGAAAUUCAAGGAUGACAACAAUAAGGGAACUUCGAGUACUUCCAACAACAUUUCAAGUACCUCACAGCGGGCUUCUCAUGCAAUGCAUCGACUUAGUAUAAUACCAAGAAGAAAAUCAGUCAUCGCUCGAUUUACAAGUACUUGGUCAUCUGUUGAUGAGAAUCUUGCCAAAUCCUUCCUAACUGGUCGUCAGAUUUCCCACAAGCUAAUAAGUGAGGAAAACGAUAUAUAUGACAUCAAUGCGAAGGUAAUCGAAAAUAACAAUGAUCACUGUAUGUUACAAUAUACCAAUGUACUGAGGGUACUAUAGUUAGGGCGAGUGAAGCUACAUAUACCUGCCUGUAUUAAGACCUGUAUUAAAGAUAAGGGAUUCCAUCCCAUAUAAUUUUCCAUGGGGUACAAUCUUAGGACUGACACAAAGAAUUUUACAACUGGAAGUAUUUCAGAAUGACAAGAUAAAUUGGAUGUCUCUCAAACUCUGGGAAGAACAUUCGGAUCGUCGGCCCUCUCUCUGUAUUCACCUGACAACGAAGAAAACAAUAUGUAGUGUGAUGUAAGAUUGAAUUAUAAGAAAAACCCGAAAUCUUUAUUUGAUAACAAGUAGGCGAUAUGCUGAAAUUCUAUGUGAUAAUCCUAAUGUUGUAUUAUUUAUAUAUUUUUGCAAAAAAAUAAUUUAGAACGAUAUCGCAUUGUUAAAAGAGUUUCAAGGAUUAAAAAUACCAGCGGUAACCUGUUGUAGGUGAAUGUAAAUCACGUUUGCUACAAAAGAUAACAAAUAGUCAUCAAUCUAAUGAGGAAUGCAAUAAUGAGAACGAGACAAAUACAGACCCCUAAACACCAGAGGUGGGAUCAUGCGCCUGGGAGGGAUGAACAUCACUAUUGACCGGUCACUUCCGUGGUCCUCAUCCCCCCUCUUUUUGUAUUCAAAAGUUAAGCAUUAAUCAAACAGGUCAUGGUCAUAAGAUAUGACGCAAACAGGUGCAUAUUUUCAUAGACAUAAAUAUGAUUUCACUGUUAGAAUUUUAAAAGUGGUUUCUCGAUGAAUUUACCCUACAGUCACCACUGGACACCGUCACUAUGUUUCGCAUUACCAUGUUUAUUAAGGAGUUUAAACUGAACACUCAUUGUGAGUCGAGAAAACGUGGGGGAGUCUAAUGUACUUAAAAAUCACCUCAAUCAGAUCUAACACUACAUUCUGAAACAUCGUGAUGUCACAUCAGAGUUUUGCCCAGGCAAUGGUAUACCGGUAUAUCUUUAUAUAUACUCAUGUCCAAUCAAUACCUUACAUAUUGCAAUGACAUGAAAUUGAGUUAAUCCUCGUAUGUUCAUAACCUCGGAUCUCAGGUAAACGAAUUGUAUCUUUGUGAGACCUAAAAGUAUAGUCGUUUGGAUUGUGAAAGUCUUUUUGACACAGACAAUUCAUUGGACAUACAUGUUGACUCGAAUUUCCUCUGUCCAAAUCUUCUAAUUAUAUCAUUUAAACUAUCAAUCAUAUAGUCAUUCAUCAAUUUUCAUAUACGACAACGUUGCAGGUAUCGAUCUAGAAACAAUGUAAGACAUAAAAGAUUGAUUGAUUGAAUAUUGUUUAACGUCCCUCUCGAGAAUAUUUCACUCACAUGGAAACGUCACCACUGCCGAUGAAGGGCUACAAAAUCUAGGCCUAUGCUCGGCGCUAAGGCCAUUGAGCAGGGAGGUAUUUUUAUCGUGUCACAGCAGGCGUGGCACGAUAAAGGGACCUCAGUUUUUGAGGUCUUAUCUGAAGAACCACUCCAUUUAGUCGCCUCUUACGACAAGCAAGGGGUUACUGAGCAUCUAUUCUGACCCGGAUUCCCACGGGAAAAAUAGUCCAUAUAACAACUCAACUUUAUGACAAACGAAAUGAUAUCAGCUUCUCCGUCGUCAACAUAUAUUUAUGUAGCAAUAUUCCAUUAUCACCUGAUAUGGUGGUUAUAUCACUCAACUGAAUCGAUGCACAAGAGCUUGUUCUGCGUAUGAUAGGUUUUUAGAUGGAUACGGGCUACUGAAAAACAAGUUGAUGUUACAGGAGUUUCAACAGUCAGCAUUUCGCAAAUUUUAUGGUCGAUCUAACGAUCUAGUUUGCAAAUACAACCUGUCAUUCGGUAAAAUGUUGGCUGUCGUAUUUCAUACCAAUUGUUCGGCCUGUCUCGGCACACUGAUCUGACUACAUAUUACUCCGUUUUCCUGAUCACAAUAUAGCGACCACAGGUGGGUGUGACCGGUCGACAGGGGAUGUUUACCUCUCCAAUAAAUCUGACCCCACCUCUGAUAUAUCCAAGGGUCCGUGUUUACCUAACUCUCUAUUCUGUAUUCCUUAUAGAAAUUAUGAGAUUGAUCACUGUUCGUUAUCUUCACUUUUUCCUAUAUCAUGCAAGAUCUUCCAGAUGCAUAAGUUCUAUAUGUAUUUUUGCAAGCUGAAAGAAAUUUAAUUUUCAUUGCUCAUGUCGUGGAGUAUAUUUGUCAUUUACUAUAUAUAGCUUGUUUUCCUAUUUGUGAAAUGCAACGAACGUCACAUUAUUAUGGAAGACGCCGACGAUAGAAGUCAGUUAAGAAAAAGGAUAGUCGAGGUUGUAGAAAGUACAGGAGGAAAAGCAGUGGUGAUUUACAUGUUACAUGGCGACUCCAGAGACCUCAAAGAUGGAUGCCUCUACUCAAAGAAAUUAACAUGUAUAAACUACCACCCGAUACUAAGGAAAUUAUCAAAGGAAGACUGUGUGAUCAGUACCGACAAAGAACUUUCAAAGUUUCAAAUACAUCAUCUGCAGAAGCUUUGUAAGGAAUAUUCUUAAUUCUGAUCCAUAGGCUGGCAAUGAUUAAAGAUGUCUCUUUUACUUUUGGACGGUCAUCAUACUCAAAAUGGUUAGCAUGCUUGUAAUGUUUUUAUAAAUAAUCAUUUUUACUCGUUUAUAUCUUAUAUAGCUUUCUAAGUGUUGCUCUAUCAAACAUGUGAUUAAUAAACAAGAUAUUCUAUU
Molecule: RNA transcript, 3704 nt
Organism: Ostrea edulis (European flat oyster)
Lineage: Eukaryota; Metazoa; Mollusca; Bivalvia; Ostreida; Ostreidae
Exons: 6
Source: RefSeq, a predicted model, not a curated record